Molecule: ribosomal RNA, 386 nt
Filed under: uncultured bacterium
Lineage: Bacteria
Description: bacterial SSU rRNA
Rfam family: Bacterial small subunit ribosomal RNA
Source: RNAcentral
AUUGAACGCUGGCGGCAUGCCUUACACAUGCAAGUCGAACGGCAGCACGGGAGCAAUCCUGGUGGCGAGUGGCGAACGGGUGAGUAAUAUAUCGGAACGUGCCCAGUCGUGGGGAUAACGUAGCGAAAGCUACGCUAAUACCGCAUACGAUCUAUGGAUGAAAGCGGGGGAUCGCAAGACCUCGCGCGAUUGGAGCGGCCGAUAUCAGAUUAGGUAGUUGGUGAGGUAAAGGCUCACCAAGCCGACGAUCUGUAGCUGGUCUGAGAGGACGACCAGCCACACUGGGACUGAGACACGGCCCAGACUCCUACGGGAGGCAGCAGUGGGGAAUUUUGGGACAAUGGACGCAAGUCUGAUCAGCCAUUCCGCGUGCAGGAUGAAGGCCU